Molecule: ribosomal RNA, 334 nt
Filed under: uncultured Lactobacillus sp.
Lineage: Bacteria; Bacillati; Bacillota; Bacilli; Lactobacillales; Lactobacillaceae
Description: bacterial SSU rRNA
Rfam family: Bacterial small subunit ribosomal RNA
Source: RNAcentral
GGCGGGCGUAAAGCUGUCGCUAUGGGGAUGGGCCCCCGCGGUGCAUUAGCUAGUUGGUAAGGUAAAGGCUUACAGGCGAUGAUGCAUAGCCGAGUUGAGAGACUGAUCGGCCACAUUGGGACUGAGACACGGCCAAAACUCUACGGGGAGGCAGCAGUAGGAAUCUUCCACAAUGGACGCAAGUCUGAUGGAGCAACGCCGCGUGAGUGAAGAAGGUUUUCGGAUCGUAAAAGCUCUGUUGUUGGUGAAGAAGGAUAGAGGUAGUAACUGGCCUUUAUUUGACGGUAAUCAACCAGAAAGUCACGGCUAACUACGUGCCAGCAGCCGCGGUAAU